This is a long non-coding RNA of Siniperca chuatsi (mandarin fish), 641 nucleotides long. RefSeq lists it as uncharacterized. The transcript has 3 exons. NCBI's taxonomy places the organism in Eukaryota, Metazoa, Chordata, Actinopteri, Centrarchiformes, Sinipercidae. The record is from RefSeq and is a predicted model, not a curated record.
GCGUUACAAAGCAUUCAAAUGAACUUACUUCUUUCUUUCACAAGAUGGCGCUGCAGUCAUUGUUGGAGGGAGGACAAGAUGCAGCCUGAGAUGAGAAAUUAAAAGUCAUGAAACGGAUGUGACUAGUGGUUUUGUGUGCAGAGCUGCAAAGCAUCCACAACAGCAGGUUUUCAAGUGCAGUGCAUCAGACACAUCAACAACUGAAAGAGCUGCUGUCAACAGCAACAUCAGAAGAUGUGACUCCUGUCUGUUGGUGGUCAGCAACUCGGGCAUGUGCUCCCAGAAUAAAAUAUCAUCCUACAACUGCUUAUUCAGAGGCUGUGUCAGACAGAGACAGACAGAGCCAGCCAGAGACUUUCAUUGCUGCAGUUGUUAGUGGCUGCUAUACUAUACUGUAUGUUUUCAAAAUCUGCAAGGUUACUGGACGAAAUAAAGGUCUGGUUAGGGAUUACAGGUUCUGCAACCUUUGUAAUGACAACUGCCUGGGAGAUGUGGAUCACAUUUGUUUUAUUUAAGAAUUCAAGUAUAAUGAAUAAUAGGGAAAAGUACCUGCCAAAGUACAAUUAAAACCAUUCAUCUAUGUUUUAGGGUUGCAACUAAUGGUUGUUAUAAUUAUCGAUUUAUCUGCUGAUUAUUGUCUU